AGUAGCUUGCUAUGAGCUGUUUUAGCGGCGGACGGGUGAGUAACGCGUGGGUGACCUGCCCCAUACCGGGGGAUAACAGUUGGAAACAGCUGCUAAUACCGCAUAAGCUCACAGAGCCACAUGGCUCAGAGAGAAAACUCCGGUGGUACGAGAUGGACCCGCGUCUGAUUAGCUAGUUGGUGAGGUAACGGCCCACCAAGGCAACGAUCGGUAGCCGGACUGAGAGGUUGAACGGCCACAUUGGGACUGAGACACGGCCCAGACUCC
This 267-nucleotide ribosomal RNA is filed under the name uncultured Eubacteriales bacterium. RNAcentral's name for it is "uncultured Clostridiales bacterium partial 16S ribosomal RNA". It matches the Rfam family "Bacterial small subunit ribosomal RNA", at positions 70 to 339 of the family's 1533-position model. Lineage: Bacteria; Bacillati; Bacillota; Clostridia; Eubacteriales. The record is from RNAcentral.